CACUUUUAAGAUCGAUUAUUUUAUAACUGAUCAUAAAAGUUAAUACUUUUAAGAUCGAUUACGAAACAACCGAUCUUAAAAAUA
This 84-nucleotide microRNA precursor is filed under the name Cajanus cajan (pigeon pea). RNAcentral's name for it is "miRNA gene-KK1_050346". The record is from RNAcentral. Lineage: Eukaryota; Viridiplantae; Streptophyta; Magnoliopsida; Fabales; Fabaceae.